AUCGAAACAUUUAAUUCAACUGUCUGCUCUCUGGAUUAAGGGACGACAUCAAAAGUUCAAUGUAGGAUAAAAAAAAAAAACUUAAUUCACAUAACUUUUUCAGUGAACCCCCUCCCCUUCUAAACUUAAUUUGGAAAAACUUCAUUUACCAAUAUGGAUUUAUGUAAAAUCGGUGUCAAAUAAACAAAAAUUGCAGCAAUUUUCACCCCCAACCAACAAAUUAUUCGAUUUUUUUUUUAUCUUACAUUGAUCUUUUGAUUUUGUCCGUAAGGGCUACCAUUUUAUUUUGAUUUAUGUGGGGGACUUGAAUGGAACAUUUUGUCCUGCAUUUUUUUAGUUGUAAUCUCUUUCCCGUCUUUUUAAUUUUCAGUCUAUUCAGUCCUGCCUUUUUUAUUAGUUUACGGUAACCGUACUUAACUACACAAAUAACCAAAGAUUACAUACUGACGACAUUGCUCGAUUUUUUUCUAGUAUUAAAAUGGGUCUGUGUUAUAAACUUUUAUGUACACUUUUAAUAUUCUUUCGCAAGUUUUAGGUAUUCGACAUAGGAUAGUGUGAAUUAUUUUCCUGAU
Molecule: long non-coding RNA, 572 nt
Filed under: Mytilus galloprovincialis (Mediterranean mussel)
Lineage: Eukaryota; Metazoa; Mollusca; Bivalvia; Mytilida; Mytilidae
Source: RNAcentral